AUUAAUUACAUGAUAAUGCCAUUAGAAAAAUUUAAUCAAAAACAAAACUCUUUAAUGACGUCAUUAAGGUUACCAAAACUUUGAUAAAUAUAACGUGGUCUUACCUAGAUAUUCCUCUGGGUAUUCUUGUGAUUCAAUUAUGUUCACGUCUGAUCGGCGAAGACGUUUAAUAAGGGGUUUGUUCUCGGUGAGAAACCUUUUCCGAACAUAAGCAUCUACAGAUCGGAUGUAGAACCCACGUUGAGCCAUAGUUUGUUUCAUAUUGUCAAGAACCGUUUUCAAGCUCAAUUUCUUAGGGAUGUGAACAUAUUCUACAUCCCACAAUUCCUUAAGAAAAAAGAAAAAAAAGUAUACUGAUCCGAAAACAAUUAACAAAAAGCGAACAAUAUACUACUACAUUACCUUCAUAGGCUGCAAUCCACCUCUAUUAGUGACCACGUUGGUGCUUAGAUCUUGCAUUGGAGGAAAUCCUUUUGGAUGAGGAGUUUUUGAUUUUGAUAAAAACUCAUCUCUACCACGUUCAACUUCUUUCUCUUCCUGUUUCUUCACACUGCGUCUUCCCUUUCCUCCAGGUUUUCCUCUUCCUCCAACCAUUGUUGACAGAAUCGGCGCAAAAUGAGGGUUCAGACGAAAUGAUGGAGGUUUGUACGUAUUCUACACCCUCGGUGAUUUAUUAUAUAAAUAUCAAUUUAAGAGAAUAACCUACUCAAAUCACUAACUAAUCCAUGAUUAUUAUAUACUCAUACUUUGAGUUUGGAUUACAAAAAAAAUAUUCGAGUAUGAAAAAACUAUUAAAAUGGUUUUAUUGAAAAAUCAUGUAAUAUUAAAAUAAAUUUAGUAAUAGUACAUUAAAUAUGUAAAAUAAAAUAAU
Molecule: small RNA, 871 nt
Filed under: Arabidopsis thaliana (thale cress)
Lineage: Eukaryota; Viridiplantae; Streptophyta; Magnoliopsida; Brassicales; Brassicaceae
Description: ATSL195820
Source: RNAcentral